GACGGAUGUCUCAUCGGGUUCAGAAGGGGAUGGGAAUGCAGAUUUGGAUGCCUCGUAUCGUAUGAUAAAGAAGAGAGUUUUUACAAAGCCCUAGAGCUAGAGCUUGUUGAGAAAGUAGCUUUGAAGAUGGGCUUCCUAUGGGAAAUAGGGAAGUUUAAAGCGAUAACAAAGGCCUUAGGGAAUAGGAUCUCUUUCUGCGUCUACUGAUGCUUUUGAAAAAAGCCUUUGGUUUGGCUUGUUUAAUUGAUUCGUACGUAAUCCGAGAGCUUCAUACGUGGGAUUUAUUUGGCAAAGGAAAGUCAAGAGAAAAGGUGGUAGCUAUUCUAGCAAGUCUUCUGUGGAGGCCUUUUUUUUUAACCGAUUAAAUCGUAAGUUGCAUCCUCAACUUCUGGACGGGUUCGAGAGUUUGGUUCGACUGAGACGGAUGUCUCAUCGGGUUCAGAAGGGGAUGGGAAUGCAGAUUUGGAUGCCUCGUAUCGUAUGAUAAAGAAGAGAGUUUUUACAAAGCCCUAGAGCUAGAGCUUGUUGAGAAAGUAGCUUUGAAGAUGGGCUUCCUAUGGGAAAUAGGGAAGUUUAAAGCGAUAACAAAGGCCUUAGGGAAUAGGAUCUCUUUCUGCGUCUACUGAUG
RNAcentral lists this long non-coding RNA (628 nucleotides) under Nicotiana benthamiana. Its description in RNAcentral is "long non-coding RNA (NBEN_LNC010609)". Lineage: Eukaryota; Viridiplantae; Streptophyta; Magnoliopsida; Solanales; Solanaceae. The record is from RNAcentral.